GAUGAACGCUGGCGGCGUGCUUAACACAUGCAAGUCGAACGGACAGGCCCUGCUUUUGUGGCUUGCUCGUGUGGCGAGCGCGUGAGUAACACGCGAGUAACCCGUCCCUGACUUAGGGGUAUAACCAGGAAAAACGGGCUCUAACAGGGUAGGAGCUCCUGCAGCACGGGGGGCGUUGGUAAGAUUCGGCGGUUGGGGAUGGACUCGCGGCUUAUCCGCUUGUUGGUGGGGUAGUGGCGUACGAAGGCUUUGACGGGUAGCCGGCCUGAGAGGCUGACCGGCCACAUUGGUCCUGCGAUACGGCGCAGACUCCUACGGGAGGCAGCAGUGGGGAGUAUUGCACAAUGGGCGGAAGCCUGAUGCAGCGACGCCGCGUGCGGGAUGACGGCUUACGGGUUGUAAACAGCUUUCGCCGGUGACGAAGCGUGAGUGACGGUAAUUAGUAAAGAAGCACCGGCUAACUACGUG
This 468-nucleotide ribosomal RNA is filed under the name uncultured bacterium. Its description in RNAcentral is "partial 16S ribosomal RNA". It matches the Rfam family "Bacterial small subunit ribosomal RNA", at positions 28 to 507 of the family's 1533-position model. The record is from RNAcentral.